Molecule: ribosomal RNA, 264 nt
Filed under: Mantidactylus opiparis
Lineage: Eukaryota; Metazoa; Chordata; Amphibia; Anura; Mantellidae
Description: partial 16S ribosomal RNA
Source: RNAcentral
UAAUCAGUGAAACUGAUCUCUCCGUGAAGAAGCGGGGAUACUCCUAUAAGACGAAAAGACCCCAUGGAGCUUCAAACCCAACUACACCCUUAACUACCACAACCGCACAACCUCUUAGGGCCCUGUAUAGUUGGUUUUAGGUUGGGGCGACCACGGAGUACAACCAAACCUCCGCAAUGGACGGGACCACUCCCUUAUCUAAGAGCCACACCUCUAAGAAUUAAAACACUAACAUAAAAUGAUCCAUGAUCUGAUCAAUGAACC